AUUAUCUAGUAAACAAUUUGAAAUCUAAACUUCAAAAUCAAAAUUUGAGUUAUACAGUCAAAAUAACAAAAAUGUUUACAUCAAACAAUACUUGCAUUUAACCGAAAGUCUGCAAAAAAAAAAAAAAAAACAACUUUAACAAUGGUUCCAAGCUUAUACUCCAAUGUUUUCAGCUCCGUAUAGAGUACAAGCCCAACGCAUCUAAUUGAGUAGCAGAUGCCUUAUCCUGAGUUCUUGCAAAUUGGACCUCUGAGGAUCACAUAUCCUAGCUUGCUCUUGUCUCAAGGCCAACAUUUGAAAUACUUCAACAAUUGCAGCAGGCCAAUGCUUCUGAUCCCAAUUUGCUAGCCCUACAUCACCAACACCAGCAAGACCUUCUUCCUCCAAGGUAUACACAACUUCAUGGGUUGAUUUUAUUUCGAGGUCUCUAUGUGGUUAGUAUGCACUCCCCUUUAUGUGAAGCACUCAUCCAAUUUCAUGAUGCACCAUGAGGGGGACAUGCAGGAAUCAAACGCACUCUCGCUUGAUUAGCUGCCAAUUUUUGUUGGCCCACAUGCAAUAUUUCGUUGAAACCUACAUCGCAUCUUGCCUCACUUGCCAGAAAAUCGAGUAUUCUUAUCAAGUUCCCACAGGUCUUUUGCAGCCCUUACCCAUUCCAGAAGUUGUAUGGGAAGAUACCACAAUGGAUUUUUAGACCAGCCCUUCACCGUCCAAAGGUGGUAUACCAUAUGUGCCAUUAAAGUUGGUCUUGAUGGUGAGGUUGACCACCUUAAGGCUAGAUUAGUAGCCAAAGGUUAUACUCAGAUAUACGGUCUUGAUUAUUGUGAUACCUUCACUCAUGUGGCCAAAAUUUCCAUUAUUCAUCUCUUCCUUGACAUGGCUACCAUUCGACAUUAGCCAGUUCAUUAGUUAGACUUGAAAAAUGCCUUCCUUCAUAGUGAGUUGGAAAAGGAUAUUUACAAGGAGCACUCCCUUGGGUUUGUUGCUCAAGGGGAGUUUGGUUUGGUGUGUAAACUUUGUCGAUCUCUCUAUGGACUCAAGCAGUCUCCAAGAGCUUGGUUUGGAAAAUUCAAUCAUGAUGUGCAAAAUUUUAGGAUGAAAUGCAGUGAAGCAAAUCAUUCAGAUUUUAUUAUCACAAUUCACCUAGAAAAUGUGUUUAUCUAGUUGUCUAUGUUGAUGAUAUAGUUAUUAAAAGAAAUGAUACUAUCAAAAUUUCUCAAUAAAAAAACCACUUAUUCAAUCACUUUCAGACCAAGGAUCUUCGCUGUCUCAAAUACUUCCUUAGCAUAGAGGUGGCUCAAUCCAAGGAAAGCAUUGUUAUUUCACAAAGGAUGUAUGCUUUGGAUAUUUUGGAGGAGACAAGGAUGGUUGAUUGUAGGCCCAUUGAUAUUCCUAUGGACCCAAAUCAAAAGUUAAUGGCAAGCAAGGUGCACCAUUUCCAGAUCCAGAAAGAUACAAAAGGUUGGUUGGGAAACUCAUUUAUCUCAUAAUUACAAGACUUUUAUCUCUUUUGCAGUUGGAGUUGUGAUUCAAUUCAUGAAAGCUCCCAUGGUUGUCAAGAUCGAGUUUUAACUCGUAAAAACUUCUGAUUUUACGAGCCAGGGAAGCCCAACCUAUUCAGCUCGUAUGCAAACUCAUUUUCCACUAAACUUUUGCAAACUCACAAACUCAACCAAAAUCGCAAGUUUGUCGUGAUUGAGCGUGGCUACACUGGUCACUUAAAAAAGCCCCAAACAAUAGCAAAACUUGCGUUUCAAUUUAGGAUUUUUUCCUUCCCACGAUUUGCACGUUUCUCUCAAGUCUCAAUUGCUGAAACUGAACCCAAAACCUGUGUUGUUCGGAUCUGUUCAUCAGCGUUAGGACUUGCUCGUUGCUAGUUUGUUUGUCGUCCCUAGUUCUUUGGUCGAGAUCGCGCUCUUUGUGGCUUGCUCAUCGUUGGUCGGCAUCUCUGUUCUCUGGUCAACAUCGUGUGAUUUAGGGUUGUUCCAGUUGUAGUGUCGUGUUUCCGCGAUUCUCGUGAAGGGCCUCAACAAGUUUAUAUAAACUCUUGAUUUGGACAACCUAGCUCCUCAUAUUGAUCACUGGAAUGUUGUGAUUUGCAUUCUCAAGUAUAUUAAAAAAGCUCUCCAGAACAAGGUUCACUAUAUUAAGAUAAGGGAAAUACCCCAAUCUCUAGGUAUUUUGAUACUGAUUGGGCAAGAUGCCGCAUAGAUAAGAGAUCAACUACGGGAUAUUGUAUAUCCAUUAGAGGAAACACUAUCUCUUGGAAGAGCAAGAAACAAAAUGUUGUUGUUAGGCCUAGUACAAAAGCUGAACAUAGAGCUAUGGUCACAGCCACUUGUGAGUUAUAUGGAUCAAGCAACUUCUCUAAGAGUCAAAGUUAUGUGAAAUCUAACAAAUGAAAUUGUAUUGUCACAACCAGGCAACUCUUCAAUCUUCAUGUUGCCUCUAAUCCAAUGUUCCAUGAAAGAACUAAACAUAAAGAGGUUGACUGUCACUUUUUUAGGGAGUUUUUAUCUAAGGAGAUCACUACUGAAUUCAUUAGUUCAAAUGAUCAACUUCAUGAAAUUGUGAACAAGUCUUUGAGUGGGCCUUGUAAUCAGUUUAUUUGUUCCAACUUGAGGGAGAGUGUUAGCUUAAUAUAUAUUUUUGUAUUACCAUAUGUUAUGUAAAGCUGUUUUUUUUUUACUUUUCCUACUGCUAUAACUGUCUGUACACACUACGGUAGUUGUCUGCCGUGGAUUCAGAAUGUAAUUCCUUCUUUUUUGUCUCAUUGUACCUCUGUUUAUAUAUACACAUAAAAUCUGUGAUGAGUGAAGCUAAGUCACUCAAGCAUUUUAUUCAAAA
Molecule: long non-coding RNA, 2847 nt
Organism: Cajanus cajan (pigeon pea)
Lineage: Eukaryota; Viridiplantae; Streptophyta; Magnoliopsida; Fabales; Fabaceae
Source: RefSeq, a predicted model, not a curated record